GCAGACACAUUCCAGCCAAUCAGCAGCAGGCCCUCCCUCCCAGACCCUCCCACCUCCUGGACAGCAUCCAUUUUACAUUCAUUGUGAAGCUGCAUUCUUAGUGAGCUGUCCAGGAGGUGGGAGGGUCUGGGAGGGAGGGUCUGUUGCUGAUUGGCUGGAAUGUAUCUG
Molecule: microRNA precursor, 168 nt
Filed under: Pelobates cultripes (western spadefoot toad)
Lineage: Eukaryota; Metazoa; Chordata; Amphibia; Anura; Pelobatidae
Source: RNAcentral